Molecule: non-coding RNA, 148 nt
Filed under: Chlorocebus sabaeus (green monkey)
Lineage: Eukaryota; Metazoa; Chordata; Mammalia; Primates; Cercopithecidae
Source: Rfam by way of RNAcentral
GCCGGGUGUGGUGGCACACACCUGUAGUCCCAGCUACCAGGGAGGCUGAGGCAGGAGGAUCGCUUGAGCCCAGGAGUUCAAGGCUGCAAUGAGCUAUGAUGGCACCACUGCACUCCAGCCUGGGCAAAAGAGUGAGACCCUAUCUGUC